Molecule: ribosomal RNA, 498 nt
Filed under: uncultured bacterium
Lineage: Bacteria
Description: partial 16S ribosomal RNA
Rfam family: Bacterial small subunit ribosomal RNA
Source: RNAcentral
AUUGAACGCUGGCGGCAUGCCUUACACAUGCAGUCGAACGGCAGCACGGGAGCAAUCCUGGUGGCGAGUGGCGAACGGGUGAGUAAAGUAUCGGAACGUGCCCAGUCGUGGGGGAUAACGUAGCGAAAGUUACGCUAAUACCGCAUACGAUCUAUGGAUGAAAGCGGGGGAUCGCAAGACCUCGCGCGAUUGGAGCGGCCGAUAUCAGAUUAGGUAGUUGGUGGGGUAAAGGCUCACCAAGCCGACGAUCUGUAGCUGGUCGGAGAGUGCGACCAGCGACACUGGGACGGAGGAACGGCCCAGAAUCGUACGGGAGGCAGCAGUGGGGAAUUCUGGACAAUGGGCGAAAGCCUGAUCCAGCCAUGCCGCGCGCAGGAUGAAGGCCUUCGGGUUGUAAACUGCUUUUGUACGGAACGAAAGGUUUGGGCUAAUAAGCUGAGCUCAUGACGGUACCGUAAGAAUAAGCACCGGCUAACUACGUGCCAGCCGCCGCCGUAA